RNAcentral lists this ribosomal RNA (505 nucleotides) under uncultured bacterium. RNAcentral describes it as "partial 16S ribosomal RNA". It matches the Rfam family "Bacterial small subunit ribosomal RNA", at positions 899 to 1397 of the family's 1533-position model. The record is from RNAcentral.
ACUCAAAGGAAUAGACGGGGGCCCGCACAAGCGGUGGAGCAUGUGGCUUAAUUCGAUGCAACGCGAAGAACCUUACCUGGCCUUGACAUGCUGGUAGUAGAAUCCAGAAACGGAAACGAUCCCGAGCAAUCGGGAAGCCAGCACAGGUGCUGCAUGGUUGUCGUCAGCUCGUGUCGUGAGAUGUUGGCUUAAGUGCCGCAACGAGCGCAACCCUUGUGUUUAGUUGCCUGCGCAAGCGGGAUCUCUAAACAGACUGCCUGGCUUUAAACCAGGAGGAAGGUGGGGAUGACGUCAAAUCAGUAUGGCCCUUACGGCCAGGGCUGCACACGUGCUACAAUGCGCAGUACAGAGGGAUGCAAGACCGCGAGGUGGAGCAAAUCCCAUAAAACUGCGCCCAGUUCAGAUUGAAGGCUGCAACUCGCCUUCAUGAAGCCGGAAUCGCUAGUAAUGGCGCAUCAGCUACGGCGCCGUGAAUACGUUCCCGGGCCUUGUACACACCGCCCGU